RNAcentral lists this ribosomal RNA (579 nucleotides) under Triportheus culter. RNAcentral describes it as "partial 16S ribosomal RNA". It matches the Rfam family "Bacterial large subunit ribosomal RNA", at positions 1810 to 2607 of the family's 2925-position model. The record is from RNAcentral. Lineage: Eukaryota; Metazoa; Chordata; Actinopteri; Characiformes; Triportheidae.
AAAACAUCGCCUCCUGCAAAAAUCAAUGUAUAGGAGGUCCUACCUGCCCAGUGACAAGUUUAACGGCCGCGGUAUUUUGACCGUGCAAAGGUAGCGCAAUCACUUGUCUUUUAAAUGAAGACCUGUAUGAAUGGUGGAACGAGGGCUUAGCUGUCUCCCAUUUCAAGUCAAUGAAAUUGAUCUGCCCGUGCAGAAGCGGACAUAUAAAUACAAGACGAGAAGACCCUUUGGAGCUUUAGACACAAGAUCACCUAUGUCAAGGACUACAAACCAAGUCAAACUAAAUAACUCUGAUCUCAAUCUUUUGUUGGGGCGACCGCGGGAUAAAAUAAAACUCCCACGAGGACUGGGACACCCCAAAACCAAGAAAGACAUUUCUAAGUCACAGAACAUCUGACCAAAAGAUCCGGCCACAUGCCGACCAACGGACCAAGUUACCCUAGGGAUAACAGCGCAAUCCCCUUCCAGAGUCCAUAUCGACAAGGGGGUUUACGACCUCGAUGUUGGAUCAGGACAUCCUAAUGGUGCAGCCGCUAUUAAGGGUUCGUUUGUUCAACGAUUAAAGUCCUACGUGAUCUG